This 449-nucleotide ribosomal RNA is filed under the name uncultured bacterium. RNAcentral describes it as "partial 16S ribosomal RNA". It matches the Rfam family "Bacterial small subunit ribosomal RNA", at positions 354 to 796 of the family's 1533-position model. The record is from RNAcentral.
GUCGAGAAUCUUUCACAAUGGGGGCAACCCUGAUGGAGCGACGCCGCGUGGAGGAUAAGGUCUUCGGAUUGUAAACUCCUGUCAUGCGUGAACAAGGUUGCUUGGUUAAUACCUGGGCAAAUUGAUGGUAACGCAAGAGGAAGAGACGGCUAACUCUGUGCCAGCAGCCGCGGUAAUACAGAGGUCUCAAGCGUUGUUCGGAAUCACUGGGCGUAAAGGGUGCGUAGGUGGCGUGGUAAGUCAGAUGUGAAAGCCCGGGGCUCAACCUCGGAACUGAAUUCGAUACUGCCAUGCUAGAGUACUGGAGAGGUGACUAGAAUUCUCGGUGUAGCAGUGAAAUGCGUAGAUAUCGAGAGGAAUACCAAAGGCGUAGGCAGGUCACUGGACAGUUACUGACACUGAGGCACGAAGGCCAGGGGAGCGAACGGGAUUAGAAACCCUGGUAGUCC